CUUGACUGUAUCCUGGAAUUGGGUUCGGGCUUUUCUUGCGCAGCCUAGGUGGGAGGCUAUGAAGAUUUCCUUCCGGGGAAGUUGGAGCCAACAGUGAGAGACCACUCUGGAAAGGCUAGAAUCCUCAUGGUGAUCCUUGAAUCAGGACACUUGACAGUUUCAGGCGGGCAGUUUCUCUGGGGCGGAGACCUCAUAAAGGGUAACUGAGGCGCGCAAAGGUCCCCUCAGUCUGGACGGAAAUCAGACAACGAGUGUAAAGGCAAAAGGGGGCUUGACUGCAAGACCUACAAGUCGAGCAGGAGCGAAAGCUGGCCUUAGUGAUCCGACGGUACCGUGUGGAAGGGCCGUCGCUCAACGAAUAAAAGUUA
This 368-nucleotide ribosomal RNA is filed under the name uncultured organism. Its description in RNAcentral is "bacterial LSU rRNA". It matches the Rfam family "Bacterial large subunit ribosomal RNA", at positions 2099 to 2465 of the family's 2925-position model. The record is from RNAcentral.